AGUGAACGCUGGCGGUAGGCCUAACACAUGCAAGUCGAACGGCAGCACAGUAAGAGCUUGCUCUUACGGGUGGCGAGUGGCGGACGGGUGAGGAAUACAUCGGAAUCUACUUUUUCGUGGGGGAUAACGUAGGGAAACUUACGCUAAUACCGCAUACGACCUACGGGUGAAAGCAAGGGAUCUUCGGACCUUGCGCGAUUGAAUGAGCCGAUGUCGGAUUAGCUAGUUGGCGGGGUAAAGGCCCACCAAGGCGACGAUCCGUAGCUGGUCUGAGAGGAUGAUCCGCCACACUGGAACUGAGACACGGUCCAGACUCCUACGGGAGGCAGCAGUGGGGAAUAUUGGACAAUGGGCGCAAGCCUGAUCCAGCCAUACCGCGUGGGUGAAGAAGGCCUUCGGGUUGUAAAGCCCUUUUGUUGGGAAAGAAAAGCAGCAGGUUAAUCCCCCGCUGUUCUGACGGUACCCAAAGAAUAAGCACCGGCUAACUUCGUG
This 492-nucleotide ribosomal RNA is filed under the name uncultured bacterium. RNAcentral describes it as "partial 16S ribosomal RNA". It matches the Rfam family "Bacterial small subunit ribosomal RNA", at positions 29 to 507 of the family's 1533-position model. The record is from RNAcentral.